AUAAGAGUGAACCCGUCUCUGUGGCAAAAGAGUGGGAAGACCUUGCAGUAGCGGUGAAAGGCCAAACGAGUCUAGUGAUAGCUGGUUGCUCAACAAACGAAUCUCAGUUCGACUUUAGGUUCACCUCCAUAUACUGAAACCCCAUAUCAACCUAAAGGCUACUCAACGAAGGUACAACUCCAUUGAGAAGGGAUACAACCCAAAUUAGAGAGAAAGAAACAACACCCAUCCCAGUAGGCCUUAAAGCCGCCACCAAUAACAAAAGCGUCACAGCACUAAACAACAAAUACCAAAAAAACAACCAACCUCCUAAUAAAACAUUGAGCCAAACUAUAACUAUAGUCGAACUAAUGCUAAAACUAGUAACAAGAAAACCUUCUCUUGGCACACCUGUAACCCAGAAAUAGAAAAACUGCUGGACUUUAACAGACCAAAAUAGGCAUAACACAAUCUGUACCACCCACUGUUAAACCAACACCGGGGUGCCACCAAGACAGAUUAAAAGUUAUUUAAGGAACUCAGCAAAACUUGUCCCAACUGUUUACCAAAAACAUAGCCUUUAGCUAAUAUAAGUAUUAAAGGUCCCGCCUGCCCAGUG
RNAcentral lists this ribosomal RNA (598 nucleotides) under Trachylepis aureopunctata (gold-spotted mabuya). Its description in RNAcentral is "partial 16S ribosomal RNA". It matches the Rfam family "Bacterial large subunit ribosomal RNA", at positions 768 to 1868 of the family's 2925-position model. The record is from RNAcentral. Lineage: Eukaryota; Metazoa; Chordata; Lepidosauria; Squamata; Scincidae.